Molecule: ribosomal RNA, 463 nt
Filed under: Micrococcus luteus
Lineage: Bacteria; Bacillati; Actinomycetota; Actinomycetes; Micrococcales; Micrococcaceae
Description: bacterial SSU rRNA
Rfam family: Bacterial small subunit ribosomal RNA
Source: RNAcentral
UACACAUGCAAGUCGAACGAUGAAGCCCAGCUUGCUGGGUGGAUUAGUGGCGAACGGGUGAGUAACACGUGAGUAACCUGCCCUUAACUCUGGGAUAAGCCUGGGAAACUGGGUCUAAUACCGGAUAGGAGCGUCUACCGCAUGGUGGGUGUUGGAAAGAUUUAUCGGUUUUGGAUGGACUCGCGGCCUAUCAGCUUGUUGGUGAGGUAAUGGCUCACCAAGGCGACGACGGGUAGCCGGCCUGAGAGGGUGACCGGCCACACUGGGACUGAGACACGGCCCAGACUCCUACGGGAGGCAGCAGUGGGGAAUAUUGCACAAUGGGCGAAAGCCUGAUGCAGCGACGCCGCGUGAGGGAUGACGGCCUUCGGGUUGUAAACCUCUUUCAGUAGGGAAGAAGCGAAAGUGACGGUACCUGCAGAAGAAGCACCGGCUAACUACGUGCCAGCAGCGGCCGGUAAUA